Molecule: long non-coding RNA, 2545 nt
Organism: Helianthus annuus (common sunflower)
Lineage: Eukaryota; Viridiplantae; Streptophyta; Magnoliopsida; Asterales; Asteraceae
Exons: 13
Source: RefSeq, a predicted model, not a curated record
UUCAUUCGGCCGCUCUUGCAUUCUUCAAACCCUAAUCUUCUUCAUCUUCAACCCCCCAAAAGCACAAACCUGGUGAAAACCAAACCCCGCAAGACCAAAAUUCAAACACUCAUCUUCUUUCGUUCACCUUCUCACUCUCUCUCGCAAACAGGAAAGAGGACUCAAACCGUAUACACAAAUCUCAGAAAACCAGAUCUGAGUCUUUUACAUUCAAAUCUUAUGGGUUUGCGUUCAGAUCUGACUGCUUCUACAGUUUCACGUUUCAUCUGACUGCUUCUACAGUCUGCUUUGUGGUAGCAGGUUUAUCUGGAUGUGGAUCUGGAUCUGGAUCUGGAUCUGCAUCUGAAUCGAUUUAAUUUAGGGUUUAUCUGGAUCUGGAUCUGAGUCUUUUUAGGGCUUUGCUGAAUCUUCUAUUAUGUGUUUUAGUAUUUGUUUAUUUACGAAACAUAAAUUAUUGCAGGCUUUUUAUUGAUAUUGUUGUUGAUUAUUUCAGUUGGUGAAGACAGAGAGUGUGGCUCUUCUUUUUUGUAUGGAGCCUUGCGAUAAUCUGGAUUUCCUGAAAGACAUGGAAUGGGAUCUGGGGUAUUGGUGUCCACUUAUUGAUAAUAUAUGUUUCUUGCAGUAGCUUUGUAAGCUUUAAGAUAUUAGGUAUAUCUUACAAUCAGAUCACCGGUGAAUCCCAUACAAUAUUGGGUCUCUCCAAGAUCAUUUGCUGAAUGAGGUGGUGACCCUUAUUUCUAAUCUGACUGAAGAGAAAAAUUAUGCUUGUAGAGUUGGAAGGAUAUAUUCGUCCUCGAUGUACAACCUUGACUAUUUUUAUUGAAUGCCAAGGUUUAUGUGGUUGAAGGUGAUGUCUCUAUAUAUGUGUUCAAUAUUCAACUUUUAUGUAUGAUCCCAACUGUUGCAGAUGGCAUAGCUCGCAAAAGCUUGCACCGAAUGAGGAUAUGUGACAAAGGACAAGCAAGAUAGAAUAGCAUAACAAAAAGUUCCAGUUGAAGGUCACCGGGGAAAAAUCGUUGAAUUUAAUGCUGAGGUUCAAUUGGAGAAGACUUAACGCUGAGGCAUGCUUCCACGCGAUGCUGCGGUUCCCAUUCCACAACCAAUGCCUAUUACAGCGUUGGCUUCCGCUCUUGCUAACGCGUCACUAGAUCAAAAGAGGACGAUGCUGGGUAAGAAUCUAUAUCCGUUGGACCAGCUAAGGUGCUUUUGGAGAUGGACCAAACGGAGGUGUUGCAUUUGCUGGAAUCACCAGAUGCAUUGAAGGUGAAAGUUACUGGCAUGACUUUGCUUCUAGGGUUUUGUAUACGAUGAGUCGAUGAUAUUCAUCUUCUACAUAGCUAUUAUUGGUUCACUUGGAGCCUGAAGCGAAAAAAAAUGGUUCCAAGAGGACGUAUGUACCAUGGACCAGCUAGGAACAAGGCUGAUGCAAAUAUGGCGGCGGGUGGCGGCAGCGGAAUGCUUCCCGUACCUUACGAGAUGGCUGGUGUUGGCGGCAUGCUUCCACGCGAUGCCGCGGCUCCCAUCCCACAACAAAUGCCUGUUACAGCGUUGGCUUCCGCUCUUGCUAACGACCAUACUGGAUGGAUUAUGUUGUAACUCAAUGGUAUCAUGCUCUUGAACUCUGUGGCUCCUUUUUUCUCUAAAGAUACAUAUGCGGAAAUGCUUUUGAGGAAACCAUAAUUUUUCGAAAAGAAUGUGGUGCAUGAGCUGGAUCGCAUGAUUGAUUUGCUUGGCACUCCUUCCUUUAAAUCCAUUACAAGGGCUGGUCAACCAGCUACAAUGGCGGUUGGUGCGGUUAAGGUGUAUAACGCGAGAUCCGUUGACCGAGACUUUCGAAGCUGUUGUUGGUCAUAUUGCUGUCUUGGAUGGUACAAUAGACGCAGAUCAACCUGAAAAUGAGGACAGUGGGCUGAUCUUGAUUCGCUUAUCAAAGGACUGCAGAGCUAUGGUGGCUAAUCUUGUUGACACUUACCUUGCUGAGGUGGCGUCUGAUGUUAACUUAAAGCUGGAAAAGUUUCAGUCUUUGGCUGCUACUGUUCCUGAUUAUGCAAGACCAAGUGAUGACGGGAUUUAUCACGCCGUUGAUAUAUACCUCAAAACACAUCUAUGGCUAACUGAUUUAGACCGAGAACUAAUCAUUAGGCUCUUGAACUGCUAGAAACUGUCGCUAGAAGCCAGCACCUACGCGGCCCAAAACGAGAGACUACCGCUUCGGUUCAUAGUCCAAGUCCUCUUUUUUCGAGAAGCUUUCGCUGCGUGCUUUUGUAGCUGGCUGCUUAUACGUUUCUGAUAGUUACAACUCACAGCUUCGUCUGCGUACAUCUGUAGCUAGCACUUCGAGCAAUGAUCGUGACCGUUCGAGAAUAAGAGAUGUCCCUAAUGGCAAGAAUCAAGAUCAAGAAAAUGGUGAAUUGGUUGAUUGAGGGUCAAUAAAUUUAAGGUUAAUUUUUUUAGUAAUUGGACUCUCAAGCAAUCUCGGAGUCAACAUUUAGUUGAUGUUGCUGUAAUUAUAUUGUAGAUUGAUUUUGGACCAUCUUUAAAUGCU